CGGUGUGGCAUGGGAGUCUCUGGGUUCUUGGCUACUCUGUGCUGGCAGCGUCUGCGCCGGUGUUUGCCCGUCGCGCGAGUGAGGUGUGUGGGGCAAGCCAUGUUACUCCCUGCAACUGCACUUGUCGGACCUUGGAACAUGCCUCCUGGUGUGGUCCACGAAUAGGUGGUCUGCAUGAGGGCCUCUAGCCAUUCCCAGAGUGCGCUGAAGAUGCGGUUAUAGCGGCGCUCAGUUUCCCUCCUGAUGUCGCUCUGGGCUGCAGUGAGUGAGCCUUCCGCCAUGUUGUAGGCCUUGUUAGCAGCCUCCAGGCUGCUGAGCCGUAUCACUCUAGUGUAGCUUGGCUGGGGGG
Non-coding RNA from Pelobates cultripes (western spadefoot toad), 349 nucleotides. NCBI's taxonomy places the organism in Eukaryota, Metazoa, Chordata, Amphibia, Anura, Pelobatidae. The record is from the annotation of a GenBank genome assembly.